RNAcentral lists this ribosomal RNA (86 nucleotides) under Prolixibacteraceae bacterium. Lineage: Bacteria; Pseudomonadati; Bacteroidota; Bacteroidia; Marinilabiliales; Prolixibacteraceae. The record is from RNAcentral.
CCUCUUCCCAUUCCGAACAGAGAAGUUAAGACCGCCAGCGCCGAUGGUACUGCACACCAGUGUGGGAGAGUAGGUCGUCGCCAUUC